RNAcentral lists this ribosomal RNA (1517 nucleotides) under Bacteroides thetaiotaomicron. RNAcentral's name for it is "bacterial SSU rRNA". It matches the Rfam family "Bacterial small subunit ribosomal RNA". Lineage: Bacteria; Pseudomonadati; Bacteroidota; Bacteroidia; Bacteroidales; Bacteroidaceae. The record is from RNAcentral.
AGAGUUUGAUCCUGGCUCAGGAUGAACGCUAGCUACAGGCUUAACACAUGCAAGUCGAGGGGCAGCAUUUCAGUUUGCUUGCAAACUGGAGAUGGCGACCGGCGCACGGGUGAGUAACACGUAUCCAACCUGCCGAUAACUCGGGGAUAGCCUUUCGAAAGAAAGAUUAAUACCCGAUGGCAUAAUUAGACCGCAUGGUCUUAUUAUUAAAGAAUUUCGGUUAUCGAUGGGGAUGCGUUCCAUUAGGCAGUUGGUGAGGUAACGGCUCACCAAACCUUCGAUGGAUAGGGGUUCUGAGAGGAAGGUCCCCCACAUUGGAACUGAGACACGGUCCAAACUCCUACGGGAGGCAGCAGUGAGGAAUAUUGGUCAAUGGGCGCAGGCCUGAACCAGCCAAGUAGCGUGAAGGAUGACUGCCCUAUGGGUUGUAAACUUCUUUUAUAUGGGAAUAAAGUUUUCCACGUGUGGAAUUUUGUAUGUACCAUAUGAAUAAGGAUCGGCUAACUCCGUGCCAGCAGCCGCGGUAAUACGGAGGAUCCGAGCGUUAUCCGGAUUUAUUGGGUUUAAAGGGAGCGUAGGUGGACAGUUAAGUCAGUUGUGAAAGUUUGCGGCUCAACCGUAAAAUUGCAGUUGAUACUGGCUGUCUUGAGUACAGUAGAGGUGGGCGGAAUUCGUGGUGUAGCGGUGAAAUGCUUAGAUAUCACGAAGAACUCCGAUUGCGAAGGCAGCUCACUGGACUGCAACUGACACUGAUGCUCGAAAGUGUGGGUAUCAAACAGGAUUAGAUACCCUGGUAGUCCACACAGUAAACGAUGAAUACUCGCUGUUUGCGAUAUACAGUAAGCGGCCAAGCGAAAGCAUUAAGUAUUCCACCUGGGGAGUACGCCGGCAACGGUGAAACUCAAAGGAAUUGACGGGGGCCCGCACAAGCGGAGGAACAUGUGGUUUAAUUCGAUGAUACGCGAGGAACCUUACCCGGGCUUAAAUUGCAUUUGAAUAUAUUGGAAACAGGUUAGCCGCAAGGCAAAUGUGAAGGUGCUGCAUGGUUGUCGUCAGCUCGUGCCGUGAGGUGUCGGCUUAAGUGCCAUAACGAGCGCAACCCUUAUCUUUAGUUACUAACAGGUCAUGCUGAGGACUCUAGAGAGACUGCCGUCGUAAGAUGUGAGGAAGGUGGGGAUGACGUCAAAUCAGCACGGCCCUUACGUCCGGGGCUACACACGUGUUACAAUGGGGGGUACAGAAGGCAGCUACCUGGUGACAGGAUGCUAAUCCCAAAAGCCUCUCUCAGUUCGGAUCGAAGUCUGCAACCCGACUUCGUGAAGCUGGAUUCGCUAGUAAUCGCGCAUCAGCCAUGGCGCGGUGAAUACGUUCCCGGGCCUUGUACACACCGCCCGUCAAGCCAUGAAAGCCGGGGGUACCUGAAGUACGUAACCGCAAGGAGCGUCCUAGGGUAAAACUGGUAAUUGGGGCUAAGUCGUAACAAGGUAGCCGUACCGGAAGGUGCGGCUGGAACACCU